ACCAAAGCUAGCCCACCCCCUCUUUUCUCAACUAAUAAAUACAAAUCAAUUAAAACAUUCAGUUACAUACUAAAGUAUAGGAGAUAGAAAUUUUAAACCUGGCGCUAUAGAGAAAGUACCGUAAGGGAAAGAUGAAAGAAUGAUUUUCAAAGUAAGAAAAAGCAAAGAUUACCCCUUGUACCUUUUGCAUAAUGAGUUAACUAGUGAAAAUAUAGCAAAGAGAGCUUAAGUUAUAAGGCCCGAAACCAGACGAGCUACCUAUGAACAGUUUAUCAGAACCAACCCGUCUAUGUGGCAAAAUAGUGGGAAGAUUUAUAGGUAGAGGUGACACGCCUAACGAGCCUGGUGAUAGCUGGUUGUCCAGGAAAUGAAUUUAAGUUCAGCUUUAAAAAUACCCCAAAGACACAUAACUCUACUGUAUUUUUAAAAGUUAGUCUAAAAGGGUACAGCCUUUUAGAAAAGGAUACAACCUUAACUAGAGAGUAAACACUAUCUACACCAUAGUUGGCCUAGAAGCAGCCAUCAAUUAAGAAAGCGUUAAAGCUCAACAAGAAGCCAAAUCUAAUACCAAUAAUAAACAAUAAACUCCUAGAUCACCUACUGGACUAAUCUGUUUAUAAACAGAAGCAAUAAUGUUAACAUGAGUAACAAGAAGUAAUUCUCCCUGCAUAAGCUUACGUCAGUAACUAAUAUUAUUCUGACAAUUAACAGCAAAAUAAAAACAAUCCACAACUAGAUAAUUUAUUAACCACACUGUUAACCCAACACAGGCAUGCACUUUAAAGGGAAAGAUUAAAAGAAAUAAAAGGAACUCGGCAAACACUAACCCCGCCUGUUUACCAAAAACACCACCUCUAGCAUCACUAGUAUUAGAGGCACUGCCUGCCCGGUGACAAUAGUUAAACGGCCGCGGUAUCCUGACCGUGCAAAGGUAGCAUAAUCAUUUGUUCUCUAAAUAAGGACUUGUAUGAAUGGCAACACGAGGGUUUAACUGUCUCUUAUUUCUAAUCAGUGAAAUUGACCUUCCCGUGAAGAGGCGGGAAUAUACUAAUAAGACGAGAAGACCCUAUGGAGCUUUAAUUAAUUUACCCAAGGAGCAACUUUUAACCGCCAAGGGACAACAACAUUUCCACCUGGGUUAACAAUUUUGGUUGGGGUGACCUCGGAGAACAAAAAAUCCUCCGAGCGAUUCUUAAAGACUAGACCUACAAGUCAAAUCGUCCUAUCGUACAUUGAUCCAAAAAUAAUUUGAUCAACGGAACAAGUUACCCUAGGGAUAACAGCGCAAUCCUAUUCUAGAGUCCAUAUCGACAAUAGGGUUUACGACCUCGAUGUUGGAUCAGGACAUCCCAAUGGUGCAGCAGCUAUUAAAGGUUCGUUUGUUCAACGAUUAAAGUCCUACGUGAUCUGAGUUCAGACCGGAGCAAUCCAGGUCGGUUUCUAUCUAUUAUACAUUUCUCCCAGUACGAAAGGACAAGAGAAAUGGGGCCACCUUAAAAUAAGCGCCCCUAAACCAAUUAAUGAUUUUAUCUCAAUUAAUUAAUUAGUAACAACAGUAUACCCGAGACCAGGGUUCA
This 1577-nucleotide ribosomal RNA is filed under the name Hyemoschus aquaticus (Water chevrotain). RNAcentral describes it as "16S ribosomal RNA". The stretch from base 77 to 1466 matches the Rfam family "Bacterial large subunit ribosomal RNA". Lineage: Eukaryota; Metazoa; Chordata; Mammalia; Artiodactyla; Tragulidae. The record is from RNAcentral.